Schizosaccharomyces pombe (fission yeast) is the source of this 230-nucleotide non-coding RNA. The record is from the annotation of a GenBank genome assembly. NCBI's taxonomy places the organism in Eukaryota, Fungi, Ascomycota, Schizosaccharomycetes, Schizosaccharomycetales, Schizosaccharomycetaceae.
AAAAUCUUUAAGUAACACCAUGGAAAUAGAGAACGAAUUCAUCUACGUGAUUUUGUAGUCCGUCGAUAAGACUGUAAAGGAACAUUUGUAGAGCUUGGACUUAAGGAGCCGUUCAUUGAUAGGGAAUUGCUCCGUAAAGCAGCAUUGGACUGGGAGCGUAGCAGUUGCUGUGAAGGAAGCUCCAGCGGUUGUGCACUAAGAGGAAGAGUUCCACGAUAAAAGGCGCCAUA